GCAACCCUGCUGUGUGCGUGAUAGGCUUCGCAUCUUGAGCCAACGCCACUUGAAAGGGAGAUGACAUACGCAGAGGGGAUGUAGUAGCCUGACAGGCAAGGCAGAGUCCUCGCGAAAAUUUUCCCACCUGCACAUGCAGGUUCAAGUAUAGAGGUCUACACGGCAUAGCGGGGCACAG
RNAcentral lists this non-coding RNA (178 nucleotides) under Anaerolineales bacterium. RNAcentral's name for it is "6S RNA". It matches the Rfam family "6S / SsrS RNA". Rfam says of the family: E. coli 6S RNA was the first non coding RNA to be sequenced, but its function was unknown until recently. It consists of 184 nucleotides that fold into an extended hairpin structure with a large single-stranded internal bulge. The record is from RNAcentral. RNAcentral also lists the same sequence under 1 other name. Lineage: Bacteria; Bacillati; Chloroflexota; Anaerolineae; Anaerolineales.